AGACACAUAGUUCAGCUGGUUAGAACAUCACGUUGACAUCGUGGAGGUCACUGGUUCAAAUCCGGUUGUGUCUA
Molecule: transfer RNA, 74 nt
Filed under: Riverina rivularis
Lineage: Eukaryota; Rhodophyta; Florideophyceae; Hildenbrandiales; Hildenbrandiaceae
Description: Hildenbrandia rivularis tRNA-Val
Rfam family: tRNA
About the family: Transfer RNA (tRNA) molecules are approximately 80 nucleotides in length.
Source: RNAcentral